RNAcentral lists this ribosomal RNA (894 nucleotides) under uncultured archaeon. Its description in RNAcentral is "bacterial SSU rRNA". It matches the Rfam family "Archaeal small subunit ribosomal RNA", at positions 1 to 902 of the family's 1478-position model. The record is from RNAcentral.
UUCCGGUUGAUCCCGCCAGACCUGACUGCUAUCGGAUUGAUACUAAGCCAUGCGAGUCAUUGUAGCAAUACAAGGCAUACGGCUCAGUAACGCGUAGUCAACCUAACCUAUGGACGGGAAUAACCUCGGGAAACUGAGAAUAAUUCCCGAUAGAACAUUAUACCUGGAAUGGUUUAUGUUCCAAAUGAUUUAUCGCCGUAGGAUGGGACUGCGGCCUAUCAGUUUGUUGGUGAGGUAAUGGCCCACCAAGACUAUUACAGGUACGGGCUCUGAGAGGAGUAGCCCGGAGAUGGGUACUGAGACACGGACCCAGGCCCUAUGGGGCGCAGCAGGCGAGAAAACUUUGCAAUGUGCGAAAGCACGACAAGGUUAAUCCGAGUGAUUUGUGCUAAACGAAUCUUUUGUUAGUCCUAGAAACACUAACGAAUAAGGGGUGGGCAAGUUCUGGUGUCAGCCGCCGCGGUAAAACCAGCACCUCAAGUGGUCAGGAUGAUUAUUGGGCCUAAAGCAUCCGUAGCCGGCUCUGUAAGUUUUCGGUUAAAUCUGUACGCUCAACGUACAGGCUGCCGGGAAUACUGCAAAGCUAGGGAGUGGGAGAAGUAGACGGUACUCGGUAGGAAGUGGUAAAAUGCUUUGAUCUAUCGAUGACCACCUGUGGCGAAGGCGGUCUACUAGAACACGUCCGACGGUGAGGGAUGAAAGCUGGGGGAGCAAACCGGAUUAGAUACCCGGGUAGUCCCAGCUGUAAACUAUGCAAACUCAGUGAUGCAUUGGCUUGUGGCCAAUGCAGUGCUGCAGGGAAGCCGUUAAGUUUGCCGCCUGGGAAGUACGUACGCAAGUAUGAAACUUAAAGGAAUUGGCGGGGGAGCACCACAAGGGGUGAAGCCUGCGGUU